GCAAACUUGCUGAUAGUGCACUCUAUUCCCUCAUCUAAAUUGUUAAUGAAUAUAUUGAAUAAUAUUGGCCCCAGUACUGACCCCUGAGGCACUCCACUAGAUACUGGCCUCCAACUAGUCUUUGCACCAUUGAGUACCACUAUCUAGGACAUGGGGGCAGCCUGGGGACACGCUGGGGCUCUGGGCCACAGUGGCUUGACGCAGGUGUCAGAAGAGCUCAUCAGUCUCUUCGGGGAGGACAGGGAUGACAUGCUGAUCGACCGCAACUUAUGGGUAUGACAUUGGGGGCGACUCAGGCAUCCAGGAGGGAGUCAGGCUUCAGGGAGAGGGAGGGGGUAACCAAUGUGUUGGAACUGAUGUUCAGGGUCACAGGGGUGGUUGAAGGUAAAAGAGGGGAUACAGGACUGGGAGGGUUUUGAUGUGACACCAGGAGGAAACAAAGUUGGACAGAACCAAAGUUCAGCGUCAUGGGCUUGGGGCAGGGGGUGGAGGUAAAAAGAGGCAACACAGGGGUGGUGAAAGGGUUUUGAUGUGACACUGGGUGGAACCAAAGUUCAGGGUCACUGGUGUGGGGGGAAGGUAAAAGACAGGACACAGGGUUGAGGGAAGGAUUUUGAUAUGACACUGGGCAGAACCAAAGUUGGGUGGAACCAAAGUUCAGAGUCACGGGGGUGGGGGAAGGUAAAAGAGGCGACACAGGGGAAGGAUUUUGAUGUGACACCGAGCGGAACCAAACUUUCUCGGAACAAAAGUUCAGGGUGGGGGGGGUGGGUCAUGUGGGGAAGGGAAAGGGAAGGGCACUGAGGCAAGUUGGGGACUGGAUCGAGGGGACACCAAGGCCUCUUGGAGUGGGGUACGUGGGGGUUCUGGGUUGACAUGGUGUCCCUUGGGGACCCAGGUGUCCUAGGGGAAGGUAGAGGAGGGGACACAGGGAUACAUGAAGCAGGUGAGUGUAACUGGUUUGUGAGUGUGGGAUUGAAAAUUCUUGUGAGGGGUUUCCCUGAUUUUCAAGGGCUCUUUUUUCUUUCUUCUUUUUUGUUUUCUUUUUUUUUCUUCUUUUUUUUUUUUUGUUUUCUUUUCUUCUUCUUCUUCUUUUUUCCCUUCUUCCCUUCUUUUUUUUUCCUUCUUCUUUUUCUCUUUUUCCUCUUUUUUGCUUCCUUUUUUUUUUUAAAUUUUUUUUUUCUUUUUUCUUUUUUUUUUUUACCCCUGUUUUUUCCUUCCUUUCCUAUUUUUUUCAUUCCUUUCCUCCCUGCAGUUUUUCAGAGCCUUCCCAGUUUCUGCUGUCAUCUGAUGGCUGAAGUGUUAUUCUUGUGUGCAUGUUUGGCAGGUGGGGGUCCAAUGCAACGUACAGAGCUCCCUCAUUUCCCCCCAGAACUCCAAAUCACAGGGACGAUGUUGCUGUGCAGCUGCUAAUGACAGCCCGGCGCCCCAUGCAGAAUAAAGUUCUUCGUGCCGUGUGUGUGUGUUCUGUGUUCCAGCACUAUGUAUUGUACCUGCUGUGAUGAGUUCGUGCUCCACCGUGUCACCGCAGCUUCGGCAGCAUCCCGGGUUUCGUUGAACAGGUUGUCGGUGGAGCCGGCAGUCGACAACCUCCAGUCACAUCAAGGAGUAGAGAGCCCUGGGGAGGACUGUGGAGUCGUGAGGAACUGAGUGGAGCCCUUGGGAGGACUGGGAAGCUCUGGGGAGAUGAGAGAAGUCCAGAGGAAGUCUGGGGAGUCCUGAGGAGAUGAGGUUCACCCUGAAGAGCUGUGGAGAACUGAGGAGAGCCCUGGGCAGAAACAGGGAGCCUUCAGGAACCAAGGAGAGACCUGAGGAGGACUGGGAAGAUGCAAACCACUGGUGAGCAGAGAUGUUGAAAAGGAACCUGGCAAUUACAGGAAGAUGCCCAUUAGCUGAUGUGGUAUUUUCUUCUGCUGAGGAUGGUUUCAGACCCCUAGCCCUCUGAAAGCUAAGUGGAAGGACUGGGGCUGGGGAGGCUCUGGGCAUUGUAGGGAGGGGUUUUAAAGCUUAUGUAGGGGAGAAGACUGUCCAGGAACAGUUGCUUUUGGGCAGGUAAAGGGUGCAGGUAACUUUUCAGCACAAUGCUAGCUUGGGCAGGGCAGCUCCAGCCUGUGUCUGUGUUGUUGUGUAGUUUGGGAAGUCUGCCUUGUGCCUGUUAGAUGUUCCUUGGGUCUUCAUAGAAUCUUAGAAUAGAAUGGAAGGGACUCACAAGGACCGUUGAGUCCAACUUCUGUCAUUGCAUAUGACAACUCCAUAGCUCACAUCAUGUGUCUGAGGUUGUCACAUGCCUGGUCUCUUCUCGCUUUCUGGGAGGGGCCCUCAGUUCAAGAAGGACAGGGAUCUGCUGGAGAGAGCCCAGCGCAGGGCAACAAAGAUGAUUAAGGGAGUAGAGCAUCUCCCUUAUGAGAAAAGGCUGAGGGAGCUGGGUCUCUUUAGUUUGGAGAAGAGGAGACUGAGGGGGGACCUCAUUAAUGUUUACAGAUAUAUAAAGGGUGAGUGUCAUGAGGUUGGAGUCAGGCUCUUCUCGGUGACAACCAAUGAUGGGACAAGGGGCAAGGGGUACAAACUGGAACACAAAAGGUUCCACUUAAAUUUGAGAAGAAACUUCUUCUCAGUGAGGGUGACAGAACAUUGGAACAGGCUGCCCAGGUGGGUUGUGGAGUCUCCUACUCUGGAGACAUUCAAAACAUGCCUGGAUGCCUUCCUGUGUAACCUCAUCUAGGUGUUCCUACUCCGGCAGGGGGAUUGGACUGGAUGAUCUUUCAAGGUCCCUUUCAAUCUCUAACAUUCUGUGAUUCUGUGAGGGGCUGUUCAGCAGGAGUGAAUGAGGUGUGAUCUCAAAGUUGUAACCAUAAUCAGACAUUUUUGGAAUGGGAUGAGCAUUUCCAGUUAGCUGGGGUAGUGGCGAGGAGAAUGUGGGAUGGGGAACUUAUCCCAAGCACUGCAGUAAUUUUGUUUCUUGCUAUCUUAGGUGCCACAAGUGACAAGGGCUUUGAUAUCUGCCUCUGUAAUGAGCAGAUGUUGAAGAGGAACUGCAGGAACGUCCUCGUUAACCAAUGCGUGUUUUCUUUUCUCGAGGAUGGAUUCAGAUUUCCAACAUUACUUUUAUUUUACAUCUAAAUCUUCUAAAGUUAAAUUAGAAAAUGAACAGUGAGUCACGACUGUCUUAAUUUAAAUGUAGCCUUUUUUCUUUCUGUAUGAGGGGGAGUGGAAUAAAUAAUCAUGGAUAUUAAUUCUGAAUUAAAAUAAAAGUAGUGCAAAGUACAUGUGAUUAACAGACCAGUGAAUCUGUUCCGUGUGAAAAGGAUGUUCAGCAAAUUGACCGAAAACAGCACCACCUGCAGCCAGCAUUGUUCAACAGAAAGGACCUGAUUCUUUUUCACGACAAUGCCUGAUCACAUGUUACACAACUGACGCUUCAAAGGUUGAAUUAAUUGGGCUAUGAAGAUUUGCCUCAUCUGCCAUCUCAUUUAUGCAUUACAGGAAUAAAUAAACUUAUUUCUGGUUGGCAAAA
Molecule: long non-coding RNA, 3514 nt
Organism: Columba livia (rock pigeon)
Lineage: Eukaryota; Metazoa; Chordata; Aves; Columbiformes; Columbidae
Exons: 4
Source: RefSeq, a predicted model, not a curated record